CAAGUGUUCGUGCAGUCGUCUCGACCAGAAUGGAGGCCACGGCAAAAUCGUGCCUGUUGACGUUCACGUGCCAUCCAACAGUCGCGCGUAUGCAGGUUUUUGAGUCAUGCUUGUUGCGCGAGAGUUGCUUGAUGAUAAAGCGGUCAUCUCUCAGUUGGUAUCUCAGUGUGCCUAGCACUAGAAAUGCUUAAGCUAGCUGCCCCUCCACAUUUUUGGCGAAUGCUUUACUUUUCUGGAGAGCACUCUCUAAAACUCAAUUAGCGGUAUACAGGGAUCUCCAUCCGCCGCAUGCACGUGUGUAUCGUAACUGGCUUGUCCCAGACUUCCACUGAAAAAGUUACAGCAGUUACCAGAGAGUUUGAAGUGUUUCUAUGCUUCACUGGAAAAGCGCGAAGAAGUUAGCUAAACUGCCGUAUUCAUUAGGAACUUUUGUAUGCCGCCCCUUUCGGCCUCUGCACCAAGGCUGUGUCCCGCCACUGGUUGCCCCUGUUUCACGCGGCUGUCCGGUCAAAAACGUCUUCGUUUCCGCGUGCGCUCCCGACUUCUACUUCUUUUUAUCCUUCCUCUGGGCUACCAGUAACCGAUGCUCAUCUUCGUUCGUGUAUGAGUGUCGUUUUCAGCGCCUACUCUGAACAGGCACACCAUCUCAACCAACGGUCCCCCUCAAUUCGGCUUGUGCCGCUCACACUGGGGGGAUGCGCCAUUCUUGUAUGACACCGCAUCGAGCAGCCAGAGGCUCGCAUCUCUGUCCGGGAGAAGGACAAAAUGGUGGCACCUCAUCUGCGUGGUGCUCUAGUCCAAAUUCACCAGUAUUGUGUAGGGCAAAUCGAAGGUUGCCCUUGUAGUGGCGGGCACGCGUGCACAGCGUGAGACGUGCGUUUGUAAGAAAACGCACAGCCUACUCGUAUCACGACAGCAAGUACUCACGGUGUACACUUGCUGCAAAUCUGAACCGGAUUCUUGGGAGUCGGCUUUACUACUGCCUGCGUGUAUCUGCUAUCCCUAAGUACAGAAGCAAACGUACCUGGCUCACCGUUUAUAAGUGUAGCACGUGGAUAGAUAAGCAUGCAUGCACGGAUAUAUCCGAAUCCGUUCUUUUCGUCUUUGUCUCUCUGCGCAGUGAUAGUAGCUGACGCAUCUCAGUGGACGGAUGCGCAGAUGCAGGGAUCGAGAUCGGUACAUCCAGACAGUUA
Molecule: long non-coding RNA, 1193 nt
Filed under: Toxoplasma gondii VEG
Lineage: Eukaryota; Apicomplexa; Conoidasida; Eucoccidiorida; Sarcocystidae
Source: RNAcentral